This 508-nucleotide long non-coding RNA is filed under the name Elaeis guineensis (African oil palm). RNAcentral describes it as "long non-coding RNA (EGUI_LNC021033)". Lineage: Eukaryota; Viridiplantae; Streptophyta; Magnoliopsida; Arecales; Arecaceae. The record is from RNAcentral.
GGGAAAAAAAGAAGAAUAAAAAGUGCAAAAAAUUACUAGUUGGUAAAAUCUUCUAUUGAGAAAUGUCAUAGUUGUUCAAAUAUAGAGUUCAAGAGCCAAGCUCUUAAUAAGUAUAUGGAGAACAUUAAUGCAACGGAAAGUACCCAUGAGAUGAGCUCCUUUACUUCUCUUUCUAUGGCCUCUUCUUCUCUGUCAGCAAGCUGCUUCUUCUGCUGCCAUGAAAGAACCUCCACCUCAGAGCCUUUCUUCUUCUUCUUCGAUUCCCUCCCGGAGGACAUGAGGAAGUAACGGUGAAUGCAGAAGAAAGGAGGCAGGGUUGGAUUGUUUUGUAUACGAAGGGAAAUGUAACAGUCGGACAUGAAACGUUAGAUGUGUAAUGAGAUGGCAAACAAAAGCAGGAUGAAACGCAAACGCAAAGAUCUCGUUUCAACGGUUUAGGAUCUGAAAACACAUGUGACUACUUAGCAGCCGGCAAUGUGGGUGUCGGUCAAAUCAGUUGGUUGGCAAG